Long non-coding RNA from Mus musculus (house mouse), 387 nucleotides. RefSeq annotates it as predicted gene, 32646. The transcript has 3 exons. Lineage: Eukaryota; Metazoa; Chordata; Mammalia; Rodentia; Muridae. The record is from RefSeq and is a predicted model, not a curated record.
GAAGUCACUUGUAUUGGCAGACAUCGAAGGUGACAACUGCAUCACCAAAGUCCAUCCCAUCACAGAAGCUGGAAAUCUGGAGUGCCCUACAUAACUCACAGGCCACUCAGCUGGUUGGAGAACAUCCUUUCAGAUACUUCAAAUUAUCCACUAACUGUUCUGCAGAGCCUUGUAUAGAGGUACAAAGAAUUCUUCCAAAGAAUGGAUGUGUGUGCACGUGUAAUGUAGAGGCAGUUUUCUUACACUUGAUAAAGGACUUUCUUCACCCAGACUAGGUAUGAUUGUGUCCAAUUUCACUUUUAGGAUGUAUAUAAAAUUCCCAGUUCCUGGCAGUUAGUUUAUAGAUUUCAAAAUAUAAGAUUCAUGUUUUGAGGUAGUCACCAAUAU